RNAcentral lists this transfer RNA (73 nucleotides) under Stegodyphus mimosarum. It matches the Rfam family "tRNA". Rfam says of the family: Transfer RNA (tRNA) molecules are approximately 80 nucleotides in length. Their secondary structure includes four short double-helical elements and three loops (D, anti-codon, and T loops). Further hydrogen bonds mediate the characteristic L-shaped molecular structure. tRNAs have two regions of fundamental functional importance: the anti-codon, which is responsible for specific mRNA codon recognition, and the 3' end, to which the tRNAs corresponding amino acid is attached (by aminoacyl-tRNA synthetases). tRNAs cope with the degeneracy of the genetic code in two manners: having more than one tRNA (with a specific anti-codon) for a particular amino acid; and 'wobble' base-pairing, i.e. permitting non-standard base-pairing at the 3rd anti-codon position. Lineage: Eukaryota; Metazoa; Arthropoda; Arachnida; Araneae; Eresidae. The record is from Rfam by way of RNAcentral.
GCCUUCGUGGUGUAGUGGUUAGCACGCUCAGCGCGUAUUCGAGAGGUCCGUGGUUCAAGUCCUGGCGAGUGCC